CCUUAGAGACCAACUAAGUUUGUUAUUGGUAUGAGCUUUCGUGUGCAUGCACACUUCUUCAGAUACGUGUGAAUGCACACAAAAGCUCAUACCAAUAACAAACUUAGUUGGUCUCUAAGA
Molecule: non-coding RNA, 120 nt
Organism: Podarcis lilfordi (Lilford's wall lizard)
Lineage: Eukaryota; Metazoa; Chordata; Lepidosauria; Squamata; Lacertidae
Source: the annotation of a GenBank genome assembly